This 253-nucleotide ribosomal RNA is filed under the name uncultured bacterium. Its description in RNAcentral is "partial 16S ribosomal RNA". It matches the Rfam family "Bacterial small subunit ribosomal RNA", at positions 524 to 776 of the family's 1533-position model. The record is from RNAcentral.
UACAGAGGGGGCAAGCGUUAUUCGGAAUUAUUGGGCGUAAAGGGCGCGUAGGCGGCCUGGCAAGUGGAAGGUGAAAUCCCUCGGCUUAACCGGGGAACUGCCCUCCAAACUGCUUGGCUUGAGUCCGGGAGAGGUGAGUGGAAUUCCCAGUGUAGCGGUGAAAUGCGUAGAUAUUGGGAGGAACACCAGUGGCGAAGGCGGCUCACUGGACCGGAACUGACGCUGAGGCGCGAAAGCGUGGGGAGCAAACGGG